Molecule: long non-coding RNA, 497 nt
Organism: Condylura cristata (star-nosed mole)
Lineage: Eukaryota; Metazoa; Chordata; Mammalia; Eulipotyphla; Talpidae
Exons: 3
Source: RefSeq, a predicted model, not a curated record
CCAGAAAGGCCUGGAUCCUGCCCACAGUUGUCUCCAGGGAGCUUUGGGCUGUGUGUUGAAAGUUGCUCAGAAGAUGAAUCGUGUCCUCAGGGAAUGAAGUGCUGCAGCAAUGGGUGUGGGCACACCUGCCAGCGUCCUGUCCCCCGCAGGCCAGUAAGGCGUGGAGACUGCCCAAGGGUGCCCCCAGGGAGCGUUGGGAUCUGUGCUGAAAUGUGCUCAACAGAUGCAUCGUGUCCUAGGGGAAUGAAGUGCUGCAGCAAUGGGUGUGGGCACACCUGCCAGCGUCCUGUCCCCCGCAGCAGUGUGAAAGACGGACGGGACAUCUAUUAAAUGAAUCUGGAAUCCAGCCCCAUGAGAUUCUCACAAAUUCUUGGCAUAAGAAAAAGGCUCUUCCACACCCACUCCUGGCUCUGAAUGGAAGCCUUAGAAGAUGAAUAUCCAAAGCAGUGCAGCGACUCCUUUGUGCUUAUUUCCGAAAUAAAGUCUGUGUGGCAUGA